GACGAACGCUGGCGGCGUGCCUAACACAUGCAAGUCGAACGAAGAAUUCCUCCGGAGGGGAUCAGUGGCGAACGGGGCAGUAACACGUGGGCUACCUGACGCCGGAUCUCGGAUAAACCGAAGAAAAUGGGGCUAAUACCGGACGGGCAAAGCAUUCAGCAUGGGGGGUGGGGAAAAGGGAUACCUACUGGGGUUGGGCGCGCGGCGUAUAAGAUUGUUGGGUGGCUAGUGGGCUACCAAGGCGACGACGGGUAGCCGGCCUGGGAGGGUGACCGGCCACACUGGUACUGAGACACGGCCCAGCCUCCUACCGGAGGCGGCAGUGGGGAGUAUUGCGCUAUGGGCUGAAGCCUGACGCAGCGACGCCGCGUGGGGUAUGACGGCCUUCGGUUUGUAUACCUCUUUCAGCAGGGACGAAGCGCUAGUGACGGUACCUUCAGAAGAAGCCCCGGCCAACUACGUG
RNAcentral lists this ribosomal RNA (463 nucleotides) under uncultured bacterium. Its description in RNAcentral is "partial 16S ribosomal RNA". It matches the Rfam family "Bacterial small subunit ribosomal RNA", at positions 28 to 507 of the family's 1533-position model. The record is from RNAcentral.